UACGAAGGGGGCUAGCGUUGUUCGGAAUUACUGGGCGUAAAGCGCGCGCAGGCGGCCGUUCAAGUCAGGGGUGAAAGCCCGGAGCUCAACUCCGGAAUUGCCUUUGAAACUGAUCGGCUUGAGUACGGUAGAGGUGAGUGGAAUUCCCAGUGUAGAGGUGAAAUUCGUAGAUAUUGGGAAGAACACCGGUGGCGAAGGCGGCUCACUGGACCGUUACUGACGCUCAGGCGCGACAGCGUGGGGAUCAAACAGG
Molecule: ribosomal RNA, 253 nt
Filed under: uncultured bacterium
Lineage: Bacteria
Description: partial 16S ribosomal RNA
Rfam family: Bacterial small subunit ribosomal RNA
Source: RNAcentral